AACGAACGCUGGCGGCAUGCCUAACACAUGCAAGUCGAACGAGACCUUCGGGUCUAGUGGCGCACGGGUGCGUAACGCGUGGGAACCUGCCCUUAGGUUCGGAAUAACUCCCCGAAAGGGGUUCUAAUACCGGAUAAUGUCUUCGGACCAAAGAUUUAUCGCCUUUGGAUGGGCCCGCGUUGGAUUAGCUAGUUGGUAGGGUAAAAGCCUACCAAGGCGACGAUCCAUAGCUGGUCUGAGAGGAUGAUCAGCCACACUGGGACUGAGACACGGCCCAGACUCCUACGGGAGGCAGCAGUGGGGAAUAUUGGACAAUGGGCGAAAGCCUGAUCCAGAAAUGCCGCGUGAGUGAUGAAGGCCUUAGGGUUGUAAAGCUCUUUUACCCGGGAUGAUAAUGACAGUACCGGGAGAAUAAGCUCCGGCUAACUCCGUG
Molecule: ribosomal RNA, 433 nt
Filed under: uncultured bacterium
Lineage: Bacteria
Description: partial 16S ribosomal RNA
Rfam family: Bacterial small subunit ribosomal RNA
Source: RNAcentral